GCUAACUAGGUGUCGGCAGGCGUGGUAAUACGUGGGGGGCAAGUGGUAGUCGGAAGUACUGGGCGUAAAGGGUGUGGCGGGGGGGCGUUAAGUCUGACGUGAAAUCUCCUGGCUUAACUGGGAGGGGUCGUUGGAAACUGAUGUGCUUGAGGCGGUGAGAGGGGUGUAGAAGUCCCGGUGUAGUGGUGGAAUGCGUAGAUAUCGGGAGGAAUACCAGUGGCGAAAGCGGCACCCUGGCACUAGCCUGACGCUCAUGUGCGAAGGCGUGGGGAGCGAACGGGAUUAGAUACCCGGGUAGUC
This 300-nucleotide ribosomal RNA is filed under the name uncultured Thermovibrio sp. RNAcentral describes it as "bacterial SSU rRNA". It matches the Rfam family "Bacterial small subunit ribosomal RNA", at positions 496 to 795 of the family's 1533-position model. Lineage: Bacteria; Pseudomonadati; Aquificota; Aquificia; Desulfurobacteriales; Desulfurobacteriaceae. The record is from RNAcentral.